RNAcentral lists this ribosomal RNA (837 nucleotides) under uncultured archaeon. RNAcentral describes it as "bacterial SSU rRNA". It matches the Rfam family "Archaeal small subunit ribosomal RNA", at positions 21 to 859 of the family's 1478-position model. The record is from RNAcentral.
GGUUACUGCUAUCGGUGUUCGCCUAAGCCAUGCGAGUCAUAUGUUCGUAAGAACAUGGCGUACUGCUCAGUAACACGUGGAUAACCUGCCCUUGGGUCCGGCAUAACCCCGGGAAACUGGGGAUAAUUCCGGAUAACGCACAUAUGCUGGAAUGCUUUUUGCGUAAAAUGGAUUCGUCUGCCCAAGGAUGGGUCUGCGGCCUAUCAGGUAGUAGUGGGUGUAAUGUACCUACUAGCCUACGACGGGUACGGGUUGUGAGAGCAAGAGCCCGGAGAUGGAUUCUGAGACAUGAAUCCAGGCCCUACGGGGCGCAGCAGGCGCGAAAACUUUACAAUGCGGGAAACCGUGAUAAGGGGACACCGAGUGCCAGCAUCCUAUGCUGGCUGUCCGGGUGUGUAAAAUACACCUGUUAGCAAGGGCCGGGCAAGACCGGUGCCAGCCGCCGCGGUAACACCGGCGGCCCGAGUGGUGAUCGUGAUUAUUGGGUCUAAAGGGUCCGUAGCCGGUUUGGUCAGUCCUCCGGGAAAUCUGACGGCUUAACCGUUAGGCUUUCGGGGGAUACUGCCAGACUUGGAACCGGGAGAGGUAAGAGGUACUACAGGGGUAGGAGUGAAAUCUUGUAAUCCCUGUGGGACCACCUGUGGCGAAGGCGUCUUACCAGAACGGGUUCGACGGUGAGGGACGAAAGCUGGGGGCGCGAACCGGAUUAGAUACCCGGGUAGUCCCAGCCGUAAACGAUGCUCGCUAGGUGUCAGGCAUGGCGCGACCGUGUCUGGUGCCGCAGGGAAGCCGUGAAGCGAGCCACCUGGGAAGUACGGCCGCAAGGCUGAAACUUAA